This 369-nucleotide ribosomal RNA is filed under the name uncultured bacterium. RNAcentral describes it as "bacterial SSU rRNA". It matches the Rfam family "Bacterial small subunit ribosomal RNA", at positions 28 to 398 of the family's 1533-position model. The record is from RNAcentral.
GACGAACGCUGGCGGCGUGCUUAACACAUGCAAGUCGAGCGGUAAGGCCCUUUCGGGGGUACACGAGCGGCGAACGGGUGAGUAACACGUGGGUGACCUGCCCUCAGCUCUGGGAUAAGCCCGGGAAACUGGGUCUAAUACCGGAUAUGACUCCAUGACGCAUGUUGUGGGGUGGAAAGCCUUGUGCGGCUAGGGAUGGGCCCGNGGCCUAUCAGCUUGUUGGUGGGGUGAUGGCCUACCAAGGCGACGACGGGUAGCCGGCCUGAGAGGGCGACCGGCCACACUGGGACUGAGACACGGCCCAGACUCCUACGGGAGGCAGCAGUGGGGAAUCUUGCNCAAUGGGCGAAAGCCUGACGCAGCGACGCC